AGGGGCGUAGCUCAAUUGGCAGAGCAUCGGUCUCCAAAACCGAAGGUUGUAGGUUCAAUUCCUGCCGCCCCUG
RNAcentral lists this transfer RNA (73 nucleotides) under Streptomyces zagrosensis. RNAcentral describes it as "Streptomyces sp. UTMC1154 tRNA". It matches the Rfam family "tRNA". Rfam says of the family: Transfer RNA (tRNA) molecules are approximately 80 nucleotides in length. Their secondary structure includes four short double-helical elements and three loops (D, anti-codon, and T loops). The record is from Rfam by way of RNAcentral. Lineage: Bacteria; Bacillati; Actinomycetota; Actinomycetes; Kitasatosporales; Streptomycetaceae.